CCCUUAGAUGUUCUGGGCCGCACGCGUGCUACACUGAUGCAUUCAACGAGUCUAAAACCUGGUCUGAUAGGGCUGGGUAAUCUUUUGAAAGUGCAUCGUGAUUGGGAUAGAUGAUUGCAAUUCUUCAUCUUCAACGAGGAAUGCCUAGUAAACGCAAGUCAUCAGCUUGCAUUGGUUACGUCCCUGCCCUUUGUACACACCGCCCGUCGCUCCUACCGAUUGAAUGAUCCGAUGAAUAUCAUGGAUUGAGAGUACGAAUGGGUUCGCUCAUUUCUGCUGCUCGAGAAGUGAAGUAAAUCUUAUCAUUUAGAGGAAGGAGAAGUCGUAACA
Molecule: ribosomal RNA, 330 nt
Filed under: uncultured eukaryote
Lineage: Eukaryota
Description: partial 18S ribosomal RNA
Rfam family: Eukaryotic small subunit ribosomal RNA
Source: RNAcentral